Non-coding RNA from Schizosaccharomyces pombe (fission yeast), 2307 nucleotides. Lineage: Eukaryota; Fungi; Ascomycota; Schizosaccharomycetes; Schizosaccharomycetales; Schizosaccharomycetaceae. The record is from the annotation of a GenBank genome assembly.
UAGCUAGAAAAACAUAUCUUUACUACAUUUUCCUAUCACAUCAGGCAUAUAUUUUCUAUUUUGUUUAAAUAUAUUUAAGGUAAUACCAAAAAGAAAAAACAACAAUUUCAAGAAUAACUAUGACAGUUUCAUCUAUAACUAUAGUUAUAUGAUUGGGUUUUUAAAAAAUAUCUAUUAUUUGAAAACAGUUUAGAUACAAGUUAUGAAAGAGCAUUUAUAAAAACAUUUUUCAGGUGUUCGCUGGGUUCCAUUCCAACGCUGACACGAACAAGGUUUCUAUCUAUGCCAUUCUCACCAGCCCAAUCCAACUCUUGGUAGUGAGCUAAAAUUGCAUAGGGAGAAGCCAACGUAAAAUUUGUACCAAGUGAGGGACCUUUUGCUACUUGGAUUUUGUCGUAAAAUUGGCGCGCAUCUUCAGGAUUGUGGAAAACGACAGACAAAAGACCACCAUAACCUCCAUUUUCUCUCCGGCAAGCUUCAAAAUGCUCUUUUGAUGUAUUGUAUUUGGGAUAGUAUAGAGUUUUAAUUUUAGGGUUUUGAUAAAGCAAAUUACAAAUUGUUUCCGCGUUAUGGUUUAUCACUUGUGAACGUUCAGCAAAAUCUCUGCUAUUUCUUUCUAAUGUCAAAGCAUCCUCAUCAUAUAAUAAGUCUUCAUAAAGAGCCUUCAUAGCAUCUUUUAUUCGAGAGUAGUAACGACUUGACGGAUUUAAAACCAUACUACCUCCCAUUACAUUACUAUCACCGCUAAAAAUCUUUGUGAGGCUGCUGACAACUACAUCUGCUAAUGGUAAAACCUCAACGUUGACAAAAUUUCCAAUUGUUUCAUCAACCACGACAGCAAAAUCAUAACUGUCUGCUAAUUUCCGAAUACGAACCAAAUCGGGAGAGUUUAAAAGAGGAUUUGAUGGAAACUCACAAAACAAUGCCAUAACUUUCUCUCCACUUUCUAACCGUUUCUCAAACUCAUCAAGUUGCUCGUCAUUACCUAGUCCAUAAAAGUAGCAGCCAGAUCCCCAUUUCUGUAAAAUUUUUAAGGUAUCAACAUAACAAAAACCAAAACAAACACUUUUACGGCUAUCAUCAAGCACCAACCUUAAUAUGCGAUGAGUAUUGUAAAUAGCACUCAUGCCAGUAGGAAAUAAAAAAACAUCGUCGUGACUUAAACCUUUAACUUCACGUAAAUACUGAGACCCUUCUUUGGGUAAAGCCUUUUGCAAAUCAACUUCAUCUUUUAAGGUACCAGCGAUACGUCGUCGAAGAACAAGUUUAGCUGCUGUAGCCAAACUUAAAUCUAAAUUACGCCCAUAUCUCUCCUCCAAAUAUAGGGAUACGUCUUCCAUUUCAUCAUUAGCUUGGUUUCCUUCGUUAGUCAUCCAAGUAUUCAAAGCCUGUAGAUCUGGAUGGGAAGCAUAUCGGCUUCUGCUUUUACUUUUGAGAUGAGAAAUAGACCUCUGGGCAACCAAAAAUUCGGAAAUAGACUGAAUUUUUUUGUAGGAAUGCAGAAAAGCAGCUGCGCGUCUGCUUGAAAUACCGUCCCCCGUAUGUUGCCAGAAUUGCUUGGCAAUCCCAAAGUAUUUGGAUGGAAACAAUACAGAAUAAACCUGAGGUAUGUGUAUUUCUUCAGUAUAUUUGCGAUUUCGGUCAAUUGAAUCAAGAUGUUUUCGCAGUCCCUUCGUGGCAUCAUAAAUAAUGACUUCCGCAGAGUCUAUAGGUCCUUUACUUUCAAGAAAAGCUGCACUUUGCUUAGCAACGGAUAAUGAAGGAUACAAAAACAUAUCGUAGUCCUUUAGCUUCAAAAUCUCAAUCUCUGGAAAUUUCUUUAUGAUGCUAAUGCAAUCCUUGACGUGUGCGCUUAUAAAGAACCUCGGAUAUCCUGACUUCAUUUUAGUAGUUACAUUAGGAUCUCCCUCUUCAUAUCCAACAUUGGAUUUCCAUGUAGGUAAAGUAACUGAAAUGGCAUGUUCAGUAUCAGCUGGAAUUGAUGAACCGACCUCUGUAGGUGGAUUGACUAGGUAAGAAAUAUUUGCAGACAUUUAAAGAAUUAAAUAAAAUUGAGAUUUAUAUAUAAAUAGCCAUAAACAAAAGUUUUGGGUUCUUGCAAAAAUCUGGAGUGAAUUGUGUGUGGAAUUGGGACAACCAUCUCUUUAGACCCAAUAGGCGUGCAGGACAGUUCUGUCCUCUAUAUCAAAUCAGCUAUCAGUUUGAUUCAUGAAUUAAUAACAAAAAAUAGUACUGUUUUCUUUCUAGAAUUUUACAAUGAUACAUAAAUCGAGUUAGGUACAACUUUAUCAGAUAGCCGUGUAGGAA